GAUGAAGAACGCAGCGAAAUGCGAUAAGUAAUGCGAAUUGCAGAAUUCAGUGAGUCAUCGAAUCUUUGAACGCACAUUGCGCCCUGUGGUAUUCCGCAGGGCAUGCCUGUUCGAGCGUCAUUACAACCCUCAAGCUCAGCUUGGUGUUGGGCCCCGCCGCCCCGGCGGGCCCUAAAGUCAGUGGCGGUGCCGUCCGGCUCCGAGCGUAGUAAUUCUUCUCGCUCUGGAGGUCCGGUCGUGUGCUCGCCAGCAACCCCCAAUUUUUUUCAGGUUGACCUCGGAUCAGGUAGGGAUACCCGCUGAACUUAAGCAUAUCAAUAAGCGGAGGA
Molecule: unclassified non-coding RNA, 329 nt
Filed under: soil metagenome
Description: partial contains 5.8S ribosomal RNA, internal transcribed spacer 2, and large subunit ribosomal RNA
Rfam family: 5.8S ribosomal RNA (bases 1-120)
Source: RNAcentral